GAAGGUACAGCUCAGCGGUAGAGCGCAGGCUUCGUGUGCACGGGGUCCUGGGUUCAAUCCCCAGUGCCUCCA
RNAcentral lists this transfer RNA (72 nucleotides) under Camelus bactrianus (Bactrian camel). It matches the Rfam family "tRNA". Rfam says of the family: Transfer RNA (tRNA) molecules are approximately 80 nucleotides in length. Their secondary structure includes four short double-helical elements and three loops (D, anti-codon, and T loops). Further hydrogen bonds mediate the characteristic L-shaped molecular structure. tRNAs have two regions of fundamental functional importance: the anti-codon, which is responsible for specific mRNA codon recognition, and the 3' end, to which the tRNAs corresponding amino acid is attached (by aminoacyl-tRNA synthetases). tRNAs cope with the degeneracy of the genetic code in two manners: having more than one tRNA (with a specific anti-codon) for a particular amino acid; and 'wobble' base-pairing, i.e. permitting non-standard base-pairing at the 3rd anti-codon position. The record is from Rfam by way of RNAcentral. RNAcentral also lists the same sequence under 2 other names. Lineage: Eukaryota; Metazoa; Chordata; Mammalia; Artiodactyla; Camelidae.